Molecule: ribosomal RNA, 403 nt
Filed under: uncultured bacterium
Lineage: Bacteria
Description: partial 16S ribosomal RNA
Rfam family: Bacterial small subunit ribosomal RNA
Source: RNAcentral
GACGAACGCUGGCGGCGUGCCUAAUACAUGCAAGUCGAACGCAGUGGGGACGGGUGAGUAACACGUGGGUAACCUCCCAUCAGAGGGGAUAACACUUGGAAACAGGUGCUAAACAGAUAUCAAUGGAUGGACCAGCGGGGCAUUAGCUAGUUGGUGAGGUAGCGGCGCACCAAUGCCACGAUGCAUAGCCGACCGUAGAGGGUGAUCGGCCACACUGGGACUGAUACACGGCCCAGACUCCUACGUGAGGCAGCAGUAGGGAAUCUUCGGCAAUGGACGAAAGUCUGACCGAGCAACGCCGCGUGAGUGAAGAAGGUUUUCGGAUCGUAAAACUCUGUUGUUAGAGAAGCGGUAUCUAACCAGAAAGCCACGGCUAACUACGUGCCAGCAGCCGCGGUAAUUC